Molecule: ribosomal RNA, 305 nt
Filed under: uncultured bacterium
Lineage: Bacteria
Description: bacterial SSU rRNA
Rfam family: Bacterial small subunit ribosomal RNA
Source: RNAcentral
CCUACGGGACGCAGCAGUGGGGAAUAUUGCACAAUGGGGGAAACCCUGAUGCAGCGACGCCGCGUGAAGGAAGAAGUAUUUCGGUAUGUAAACUUCUAUCAGCAGGGAAGAAAAUGACGGUACCUGACUAAGAAGCCCCGGCUAACUACGUGCCAGCAGCCGCGGUAAUACGUAGGGGGCAAGCGUUAUCCGGAUUUACUGGGUGUAAAGGGAGCGUAGGCGGUUUAGCAAGUCAGAAGUGAAAGCCCGGGGCUCAACCCCGGGACUGCAUUUGGAACUGUGUGGCUAGAGUGUCGGAGAGGCAG